This is a long non-coding RNA of Quercus robur (English oak), 4521 nucleotides long. RefSeq lists it as uncharacterized. The transcript has 6 exons. The record is from RefSeq and is a predicted model, not a curated record. Lineage: Eukaryota; Viridiplantae; Streptophyta; Magnoliopsida; Fagales; Fagaceae.
CUCAUACAAUGUUAGCUCUCUAAUAUUGUUUGAUUGUCUAGUCUCUAGUGUUUCUCAUGAGCCCACACUUUAUUUGCUUUAUUUACUUCGUUUGUUUUGAUCAAGUCUUGCUAUGGAAUCAAAAGAGAGUAUACAAUUCAAUUAUUUAUCCUCUGCUAAUAUGCUCUCUAUUACUUCAAUUUGUCUCAAUGGAAGGAACUAUGCACAGUGGGCUUAAGCUAUUGAGGCCUUUCUACUUGGAAGGAAAAUUUUCACCAUCUGACUAACGAUCUACCUUCUACUACAAAUAUUAAGUAGCUUAUUAGAAAGUUGAGAAUGCACAGAUUAGGAGUUCUUUAUGGAACGACAGAGUUUAAGAUAAGUUGUUGUUUAUUCAUUCACUGCAAAAAAUUGUGUGGAAACAGGCUUAGGAACUGCAUUCUAGUGUCAAUAAUUUUUUUUUUUAAUUUUUUUUUUAAAGUAAGAAAGAUGUUAAUUGAAAAAGCUACUUUAUGCAAAAAGUGCACAAAGCAGUCCAAAAAUUACAAGGAAAAAUAAAAAAGAAUAAAGAAGAAAAUUAAUUACAAAAAAGGAGAGAACUUAGGAACAAAGGGAAGGAGUCACCAAAUGUGAGUCCCCAAUAAUCUUAAAUGCAUUUAUGAUCUUCAUUAGAAUUACUUCUCCCAUGCUCUAAAUUAUUUCUCUUUGGAAGAUUAUUGCAUUUAAUUUAAGGAUAUAUGAGAAGAGUUCAAUCUUUACAAGCUUAUCUUUGCUGAUGUUAAAACCAUGUAAAAACAAAGAGAUCAUAUGCAUGUAGCUCAAUUUUUUAUUUUUUUCUAGUUUGUCUCUGGCCUUUGAUCUAGUGAAGUCACAGAUUAUGGUAAGGACCUUCUUUGAGUGAAGCAUUUGGUUGACUUAAGUAGACCUCCUUAUGUGAUUUUAAUACAGUUACACUGACUCGUAAUAAACCUGCCUUUGUCUCUAUGGGGUGUGUUAGAUUUUCUAGGUGUGGUCUUGGAGGACGUGGGGUCAUGAGUAAGGGGAAGAAGGUUGUGGUAGAAGACUUGGUUCCCUAAAAUGCACUUACUAUCAUUCUGAGCAUCAGAUGGUAGACUUCUGUUGGGAUCUUUAUGGGAAACCACUACUAACCAAGUUACUCUUGAAGAGGAGGAGAAUGCUUAAGUGUCUCCUAUACUGACCUCAACCACCAGCAUACUUUCCAUUCUUGGGGAAGAGUAGUCACAUUUUGUCUCUGCAAUUUCAUUUUUUUGUGUCUUUUGCUACUACUCCAGUUCAGAUAAAUACUCCCAUUGCUUGUCUUGCCACCCAAGAACCCUAUGUCAUUGAAUUGGGUGAGAUUAAUCAUAUGACUGGGAUUUUUUAUAUCUUGAGCAACUAACUAGUCUUUUUUGCACUACUUUGGUAGAUGGCUCUGCCAGUUAUGUUUCUGGUUUGGAAAUAUUAACCUUACUUCCACUUUUUCACGAUCUUCAGUCCUAUAUUUUCCUUAAUUUACAUUUAGUCUCAUUUUUGUAAGUAAACUGGUGUUGCAAUAUUCUUACCUUUGUAUUGCAUCUUUUAUGAUCUCUCACGGUUAGAUGACGGUUAGAUUGGUGGCAGACUUUAUUAUCUUGAUUUAUGCAACUCUUCCUGUUCAAGUACCCUUUAUUCAUCCGUUUCUUCCCUUUAGCAUCAUUGUCUUCUCAGUCAUCCUUCUCUUUAGAUCCUGAAGCUGUUAGUUCCUUCAUGUCAUCAAGUUGUGUCCAUGCAAUGUGAAGCGUUUUAAUUGAGGAAGCAUCAUAGAUUGUCCUUUGUGUCUAAGAGUGAGUUGUGUCAAUAAUUUUUUUCACUUAGUACAUCAGAUAUUUGGGUUCCAAAAAGGCAAUGAGGGUCCCAUCAUAUUCUCUUUGUAUACGUCUUGUGCACUUGGGCUAUGCCUGUUUUUCUUUAAUGAAAUUUAGUUUUACUUAUAUAUAUAUAAAAAAUAAAAACAUCAAAAAUAAAUAAAAGAUUCCCAUCAUAUUUGGGCUUUAGGUAUUUUGUAAUUUUUUUUGAUACUUCAAUUUGUAUCUUUAUAUUUGAUAAUGUGCGUUUAUAUUUGAUGCAAUUUUUUUUCUCAAUUUCUUGAUGGUCACGGCAUGCAAUGCAUAAUUCAUUUAUAUGUUUACAUACAAUGAAAUGGUGUGCAAAAGUGUAAGUUGAGACAUUUUUUGGAGAAUACCUGUGCACUUUUAUUCCAUGGUAGUUUUCCAAAAUCAUAUUGGAGUGAUGCAGUGCCAACAGCCUCUUAUCUUAUCAAUUGCAUGCCUUCCGUUGGCCUUGGUGCUUAUAUCCCAAGUAUUAUCUUGUCUCCUGGUAAACUAAAGUCUUGUUCCAUUUAUCUCCUAAGCUUUUUGGGUGUAUUUUCUAUUUUCACAUCUUAGGUCUAGGAGAUGAUAAACUUGAUCCUAGAUCUCUUAGUGUAUUUUUCCUAGGUACUCUUGUACUUAGAAGGGAUACAAGUGUUAUUCCCUUACUCUUUGCCAUCAUUUUUUAGUGUUGAUAUCACCUUCCUAGAACUAUUCCCAAAAAACUAUUUCUAGUGUAUAGUCCUUAGCGACCAAGUCCCAUUGAGAAUUUUCCCUAAUUUGGAAUCCACUUCUUGAUUGCGAUUCUCUUCCUACUAUGCUGCAUAAAGAUAACUUUACUUGUACUUGUCAUCCGAUUUCCUGGUUUGUAAUAUUUGUCUCCACCUUUUGGUGCUUUUAUUUCAUGGGUAAAUUAUAGGGUCGAUUUUGGUCUCAAAUUUAACAAAUUUUGAUUUGGUCUUUGAAAUUUAAAAAAGGGUACAAUAUCCAAAAAAGAAGAAGAAAAGAAUAAUGUCUUAUAAAAAUUAACACAUCAUUCAUAUUAUAUUAUAUUAUUUUUCUUUAUUAUUACAUUUUAAAGGUGAAAGCCACCACUUGUUAAAAAAGAAAAAAACCCAGCGUUGAUUAACAAAAGAAAAAAAAGACACUAUUUGAUUCAAAGAAGAAAAAAAAAAAAAAAAAAAAAAAAAACAAAUUUAAAGAUGUUGAAACCAUAGCUUCCUUGAGAUACACGUGGAAAAAAAGGAAAAGAAAAAGGAACAACGUUAAGUACGCAGACAAAGUGGAGAGGGAGUGGCAGAUUUGGUGUUUUCUCUCUUACCCUACUCCUCAUUUUCUCUCCUAAAAUCACCCCAAAUUGGGGAGAUAAGAUUUUGGUGGGUCUGGAGAGAAAAUACCUAAGCCUAGCCAAAAUCUCUCCAAUUUUCCACCCCAACCAAACAACCCAAAAAACCCUUUUCUCUCCCCCAUUUUCUAUCCUCCCUGUUUUCACCCCAACCAAAUGGACCCUAAGUCUAUCCAAGAGUCUUUAUCAUCUAUUCCAGGCUGGAGGAAAACAUUCCAUUAGAAUGAUACAUGGGACAUAGUUCCUCUUCCAUCCAGAAAAAAAAACUAUUGUUGGUUAUCACUGGAUGUAUACUGUGAAGAACUGCUGGACAGUUCUCUUGUGCAUUUGAAGGCUCAAUGUGUUCCUCCCAUUCUUGAGUUUUUGAAAUUUUAAUUUUAUUGCUUCCCUUUCUAUGUUGUUAAAUAUAUCUAUGUCUCACAAUUGAUGAUUAUAGGUUUCUAUAUUAAUAUGAGCAUUGUUUCUUUGCUGCAACUUAUGGUCAUGCACAACUUAUGGUUUCUUUGCUGCAAGAUAUGCAAGAGAGUGAUCAAAGAAUGACGAUGUUACAAUUGAAAGACAAAAUGAAAAUAAAAGCACAAGGAACUAGAUCUGUGCAAGAGUCAGAUUUCCAGCUGGGUUGAAGUGUGGUUUGAAUUAUCUAAAAGGCAAAGGAUUAAAGAUCAUCAGUAAGGUUCUGAACUGAAGCGAGAGGAAACAGAACAACUUGUCAUAAAGCUUAUAUUAGAUCGUAUAUUGAAAGAAGAAUUUCAGCAUACAGCUUAUGCCAUAAAUGCUUAUGUAACAUUGGGCCAUUUGCCAAGCAAGUCUUACGCGGAAAGAAAAAUGUGAAACACGACAUUUCUAGCGGAGAGAAGAAUACGGCUAGUCUGAAAUCAGCCAAAUGCAGUCUUGCAUCCUCUGUUUUGGAGUUCAAGCUUGAUGGGCUACGGAAAGAAGUGUCUUCGAUCCUUGGAAAAAUAUCCCCUCAUUCUGUCCUGUCUACUUAACAAAUCAUUGGAAAAAAUCAUUGGGAAAUUGAAGACAGGAAGUAUGGAAGUAUAAUUCUUGAACAAAUUGUGAAGUACCGCGAUUGUGUUCAGGGAAGUCUGAAAUAGAGGCACCAAACGGCGGAAACCAAAAAAGGAUCUCGUUCUUAUUGGAAGCAGUGAUGACGAAGCAUGAGAGGAACAGUAAUUUAUAAAUUGAAAGAGGAUCGGUAAUUUAGAAAUUAAAGAGGCGAUUUUUCAUCAUUAUUAAUAUAAUUCUUAUUACCUAUAUAAAAAAAAAAAAGGACUAUGAACACUCUCAUAUAUGUUUAUAACUUGAAUAUUUAUUUGAGACAGUUAGGUGAUCUUGAUUGUUGUUAAA